AACCACUGGUCGGUAAACGGUUUACCCAGUUCUCCGUCUCACCAGUAUUGUUGCCUGAAGCUCUAGUUUUGAAGACCCUCAGCUCCAAAUUUUUACGCUUUUUAUGAAGGGAUAUAGCAGGCGUAGAGCCUAGGCGGUAUUGAGCGUGAAUUUGAGAUGAAUUAUGCGGAAUUAAGGUUUUAGGGUUUCGAAAUUUGGAGGGCAGAGAAGGGGAAACUGUGGUUAGGAUUGUAUUGUGCGUGGAGUUCAUCGGUCGAGAAGAAUGAAAGUGACGAACGCAGCAGAAACAGCAAUGGUGUAGCGUAAAUCUUCCUAAAACGACGUAACAAACAGUUGCCGUUUGUGAAAGACGAUAAUAAUAUAGAAGUCGUUAUUAAAUCCACGAAAGUGCUGUUGCUAUCCAGACGAUACGUCGUUUUUCCUCUCAAUGGGUGUUGAUAUGGGUUAACAUAUAUGGCAGCGAUAGCAAUAUUUGGGUUAACAUAUAUAAUUAGUGGAAGGUCCAGCUCUUUAGGCUUAUUACUCUUUCUUAUUAUCUCUACUAGACAAAUCAUUCAACAACAUUGCAAUUUUACAAUCUAAUUCAAGCCUCACAACCUAAUUACACAAUUGGGGUUAAUUUAGAUAAUUUUUAUUUUAGAUCGCAAUUGGGCUAGUUAAUUUAGAUAUUUUUAGUCUAGAUAACAAUAAAAUGUACAGUUGGAGUUACUUCGGACAUUUUUGUUUUAGAUCACAAUCCUACUCAUAGGCAUGGUACUCCAGUCCAUCCAUCAAACCUACUAAUGUUUUCAAGACAAUCACAUACAAUAUCCAUGAAUCACCAAACAUCUACCACGUUGGGCUAAGCUACCUGGGGGGCUGUAGUGUGGAGAUGAGAGGGAUGUCCUUGGAAAUUAGGGGAACAAGACUAGCUCUAGCACAUACAGGUUCACAUGCUGAGUUCUAACAACUUAAUCUCUCGAAUUCAUUAAGAAGCAUUUUGGAAAAAUGCGUCAAAAAUUUAUAUAAUGGCUGACAAACAACUGUUUGAUUUGAAUUUCAGAGUACUGUGUUUACCAUCCAAACUUGUCUCGGGAGAAUCCAUAUUGACAGAAGAGCAAGGAACACUACCAAUCCAAAACGCAUUAUUAGAUGUGAUCGUGCUGGUAAAACAACUAAGGCCAAAAGCCAUAUCUGCAUUAGCAAAAAAAUAGAGUCAAUAUGCAGUAGAAAUAAUUUCUCUCCUCGCAAUUAGCAAUAGUAAAUAUGGAUAAACAAUAGAAAUUUAGUCAAGCGUACACGAAUAAUAUCACGACCAAUCAAGUAACUAAGGCAACAUGCUGAGUUUAGCAACUUUGGGUAGACUUUAAAAGCCAUAAUCUUUCAUUACUAAAACCAGAGUUUAACACUAACCCCAAAUUGUUGAAGUAUCAGCCUUUGCAUAACCCGGCUGAACAAAAUUGUUCUUUUUAUUUUUUCUAGCGGUACACACUCUUCACUCCAAAAGAGGCCGUCCAAGACGUGUGGAAAAAACCCAUGAACUAAAUUAAGCUACAAUAUGAAGAAUUAAUUAUAUGAAACAAAAUGCCCAAAUUGAAGUUUACCAAUUUCACUCGAGGAUCAACAGAGUGCAGAAAUGUAGUGGGUGAAGAUAUGAACUGGCCAAUGGGACUCGCGGUAGCACUCGAAAUCAGUCUAAAAAUCUUGUCGGCUGCCAAACCACUGGUCGGUAAACGGUUUACCCAGUUCUCCGUCUCACCAGUAUUGUUGCCUGAAGCUCUAGUUUUGAAGACCCUCAGCUCCAAAUUUUUACGCUUUUUAUGAAGGGAUAUAGCAGGCGUAGAGCCUAGGCGGUAUUGAGCGUGAAUUUGAGAUGAAUUAUGCGGAAUUAAGGUUUUAGGGUUUCGAAAUUUGGAGGGCAGAGAAGGGGAAACUGUGGUUAGGAUUGUAUUGUGCGUGGAGUUCAUCGGUCGAGAAGAAUGAAAGUGACGAACGCAGCAGAAACAGCAAUGGUGUAGCGUAAAUCUUCCUAAAACGAC
Molecule: long non-coding RNA, 2018 nt
Filed under: Jatropha curcas
Lineage: Eukaryota; Viridiplantae; Streptophyta; Magnoliopsida; Malpighiales; Euphorbiaceae
Description: long non-coding RNA (JCUR_LNC000989)
Source: RNAcentral